UUCAGAUUGCAGAAUUGAAGUCUGGAAUCCUCCCACGUGCUUGAAGGGAACUGAGACUCAAAAUGCCAAGCUUGGUCCUCAUCCCCUGUGAAAUCAAUGAGGCCUGUGCAACAGGAAGAAUGUGCCGUCGCAUUUAUAAUGCGGCAAAGUUUGCAAAAACAGGCGAGAACCAGUGCAAUAGAUUGGAAUGUUCACCUGGAGAGGUAAAUGGAAAGCCCCACUGGAAUGUCAGAUACAUUAGCCUCAUAGUAUGCAACUGAAAGAGUUACUGGAUAAGAAA
Molecule: non-coding RNA, 280 nt
Organism: Prunus avium (sweet cherry)
Lineage: Eukaryota; Viridiplantae; Streptophyta; Magnoliopsida; Rosales; Rosaceae
Source: RefSeq, a predicted model, not a curated record